UACGAGCGGCCCAAACGUUAUUCGGAAUUACUGGGCUUAAAGAGUUCGUAGGCGGCAUUGCAAGUAGGGUGUGAAAGCCCUCGGCUCAACCGAGGAAUUGCGCUCUAAACUGCAGUGCUCGAGGAACCUAGAGGUGAGCAGAACAGAUGGUGGAGCGGUGAAAUGCGUUGAUAUCAUCUGGAAUACCGGAGGCGAAGGCGGCUCACUGGGGGUUUUCUGACGCUGAGGAACGAAAGCCAGGGUAGCGAACGGG
Molecule: ribosomal RNA, 253 nt
Filed under: uncultured bacterium
Lineage: Bacteria
Description: partial 16S ribosomal RNA
Rfam family: Bacterial small subunit ribosomal RNA
Source: RNAcentral